GAAAUCAAAGAGUUUUAAAGAAGGAGAAAGCUAUCCUUCUUGGCUCAUAACCGAGGCUCCUGGGAGUAUAGCCGCCGUGAGGAGGGAGCAAGUGGCUGCACAACAAGCCCUAAGGAAACUGAAGAUUGCUCAUUACGGCAGAUCUAAAUCAACGCUAACUAAUUUUACCUCCUCCAAAGUUGUCCCUCUUGUUCACCCUAGCCCUCAUCCUCAUCCUCAGAGGUGCAGCUUCAUCACCCCUACUUCUGGUAUAUUAGCCUUUCCAUUUUUCUUUUACUUGGUGUAUUAGUCUCUCUUCAAAAUUCUGAAUUUUGUUAAUGUCAUUUUCUCAGAUCCUAUUUACGUUGCCUACCAUGAUGAAGAAUGGGGAGUCCCUGUCCAUGAUGACAAGUGCGUUACAUAUUUUAUUUUCUUACAAUUUUAAUACUAUCACUUUUAUUUUCAUAAUUGCAACAAAAUUUAGUUUAUUGAGGGUAUUAAAAUCUUGGAAAUUAGGAUAUAAUCCUAAAUGAUUUGGUAACCUACUAAUCUUAAAUCUAUAUCCCCUUAUAUAUUUGGAACUAAAAGUGAUUAGCUUUCUUUUGUUUCUUAGAUUUUAUAUCUUACUAUAACACAUUUUCAUUUUAUCCAAAUAAUAAACUAAUUAUCUCUAUUUCAGGACGUUGUUCGAACUGCUAACCCUAAGUGGCGCGCAAGUAGGCUCCGAUUGGACUUCAACCUUGAGAAAACGCCAUGACUUCAGGAAAGCAUUUAUGGAAUUUGAAGCGGAAGCGGUUGCAAAAAUUAGCGAGAAAGAGAUGAAUGAAAUAAGCACCGAAUACAAGAUAGAGAUGAGCAAAGUGAGAGGCAUUGUGGAGAACGCAACAAAGAUCCUAGAGAUCAAGAAAAACUUCGGGUCACUAGAGAAGUACAUUUGGGGUUUUGUGAACCACAAACCCAUCUCCACGAACUACAAGUUUGGCCACAAGAUUCCGGUCAAGACAUCCAAGUCGGAGAGCAUAAGCAAAGACAUGGUGCGUCGAGGCUUCAGGUACGUGGGCCCCACUGUGGUUCACUCCUUCAUGCAAGCCGCUGGUCUAACCAAUGACCACUUGCUCACUUGUUACCGUCACAUUCCUUGCACUCUCCUCAGUACCAAUCCCUAAAAGAACUCAUUUCUUAUUUAUUUACUUAAUUGAAAGUGUGUUUUUCAACUUUCGGGUGAUUUGUGUACAACAAAUGUAGGUGUAGGAGGAAAUGGAUUGUGUGAUUUUAAUUGGCAUGUAAGAUAAACCAGCUGGUGUAGUUUGUGUUUUUUUUCUUUUCUUUUGUGUGACGUUUUUAUUAUAAUCACAUGUAUAAGGGUUUUUGAUGUAUGUGUGGUGUGACAAAUUGAAUUAGUAAUUGAUUUUCAUUUGAGUUUAACUUAUCUUAUAAUAACUUAAGACUAAUGUGCAUUCUUAGCCAAAGAAAAAGACUAAUGUGCAUGGGAAAAUUCAAUAUCCUCUUGGGUUUUCAAAAUAUCGUCUCUAUCCAAUCUUUUAUCCAAGAUAUUUAUUUUAUUGUUUUAAAAUUUGUAUUGAGAAUUGAAAGAAGAGUACAAUAACAAAAAAAAUGGUGAUUGGUGUUCGUAGAAGCAAAUAGAAUGAUGAUGAAGCAUGUGAUGCUUCUCUGUCACCAAUAAUGAUUGCAUCAUUUUAGUGGAUGCCAUGAUGGGAUUGGUCAUUGCCCAUUGGAUUGGGUCAUUCUCCCCAUCCCUAAUAUAACUUCUUUCCCAGUUCUACCCUUUCAAUUAUUUAUUCAAGUUCCAAGGACAAGGCUCCUCCUUCCUUCACUCUCUGUUUAUAUGAUCAUUGAUAUUAUUUGAAUAUUUACCCUUAUCGUAUGUUUUUAUAGAAGAUGUGGUCUUUAAGUAAGGAUGUGACUUUUGGUAUAAAACAGAGUACUCGACAAGUUUUGUUAAUGUUGAGAGAAUGUAAAAAUGAAAAAGAAAAAUCAAAUAUGCUUUGAGAAGAGAGCACAUGAGACUGCAACAACGAUGCAUCAGAUUCCUACUUUCCUCAACACCGUAACACAGAAGCAGCCCUUCUUUGUCAGAGCGUGUAAACUUAGUAAAGAGUAAAGACCAAGCUAAUGAAGUUAUGGGCCCAACCUGCUCUCUCAACGGCCCACUAAGAGGCUAUUAUUUACAAGGCCCAAUAGUGAUUCUAUGGAAAUGAAUGCUAUCUAACAAGUUUUGAUAGCAUUAUUUACUUGUUCACUAACAAAUUUAAUUUUGUCAAAACACCAAUCUAAAGGCAGGUAGAAGGAGAAAAAGACAAAGUUGAGGCCGCAAUAUCAAACUCCCACAAAUGAUUCUGCUGCAUUAUAUUCCCAAUGACAUUAGUAGCCUCAGCUUUAGCCUCCACAAACCCUAAACACCUGAUUCCUGGCGCAGCAUUUAUCAGGUAGCUUCUACGAUAAGGCGCGAAACGAGUACCGCCCAUGAAGUGAAACGUUAGUUGUGGCAGCUUUCUGUCGUCGAACUUGCUGGUAUAAUAACAAAACUCUAUUGGUAGUCCUUCUGGUUUGAUUCUUUUCACACCAACAAGGUGACGCUGUAGCCCUGUAACCACGGCCUUGUACGCGGCCUCAGCUAAGAACGUGAGGCUGCUUCCUGAGUCCAAAAUGGUCCCACCACCUUUCUUUACACCCCAUACUUGUGGAGGGAUGUUGAGCAUUUCCUCUCCGAUGGAGAUUCCAACGAUGUUGACGGCGUAGAAGGGAGGAAGGAGACUGAGAUCAAGCCGAGCGGUUCGUCUUGCGGGGGCUUUGGUGGUGGUAGACGAGGGUGUAGAGCCGAAGAUGAGAUAGUUGGAGACGUUUUUGUGUGAGGUAUGGUCAACGAGGCAGUAUGAGAAUUUGCCUCCGAAGAUGUUAGUGGCUUUUGCAGUGAAGGAGUAAUCGCUCAAGGCUAGACCAAGGAUACCGUCUGCUUCACGGAAGCUGGCACCACCUUCGGAGUUGCUGCUGCAGCCAAUGAGGAGGCCACGGAUACUAGUAACGCUGCCGUUGGUGAGACCAAGAGUGAAGGUCUCCUUAGCGAAUACACCUUGUGCUGAUGAUCCAUCAACAUAUCUGUUACACCAAAUCUAAGUAAGAAUGCAAAAAACAUGGAUGGAUUAUUACUAAAGAGGCAAACCUAACUCCCAAGUCACAAUAAGUAACAUUUAUAUACUGUGAUGAAUAGUAGCACAAGACACAUUUAAUUUUCACAUCUUCUCCUUACAUACACUUGCAUCUAACUCUAUGUCUCCCUCAUGUUUAGGCAUGGGCAUAAAAACCGAGAACCAAAAAUUGAACCGGAAUCGAACCCGAAACCGAACAGAUAUUCAAAAAUAACUGAACGGUUCCUAUAUUUCUAUAACCCAAAAACUGAAACCGGAGUGGAACUGAAUCGAGAACAAUUAUAUAUAGUAUUAAAAUUAGCAAUUUUUUUAAAAGUAUUACUUAUAAACCGAAUUACCCAGAUAUUUUUUAUCCAAAGUAUUUAAAAAUUUCCGAACUACCCUAAAUAACCAAAUUACUCGAAUAGUUUUAUCCAAAAAUUUAAAAUUUAUCCGAAUUACCCGAUUUUUUAAUCUAAAAACCUGAAAAAAAUCUGUAUUUGUACCCUCGAAUAUCUAAAACUAACCGACAAAACGAUACCGAAUUGAAACCAAAAGUUUAUUGGAUAUUAGCCUGUUCUUAUAAUUAUUACCCGAACCGAACCAAAAACCGAAAUAACUGAACUAAAUCCGAACCGAUUUUCAUAGAUAACCGAAUGGUUCAUUGAACCGAAAACAGAAAGAACCGAAUCUGCACCGAACCCAAAACCCAAUGCCAGGCCUGAUUCGCAUUUUGACUAUGGAUCAAUAAUACAAACACAACCACUAAAAGAGAGUUUAUUUAUCCUUGUACCUGUAAUCGUAUGCGCAUGGAGUUCUAGGGGUAGGGCAUAUAGCGAUGGAGAAUAGUUUCGCCAAAUCUUCCGAACAAGUCUUCGUCAUGCAUCCAACCUUUCUGAAACUGGACGAAUUCUCUGCUCUGAAGACAUGACGAUUCUCAAGUUUCUCUGGCCCUUGCCCAUGGAACCUACAAUUCACCCAUGUCAGCUCGCUCCCUGUGUCCACCACCACCCUGAACCUCUUCGCUGGCGUUCCAACCAUGAUCUCCGAGAAAUACUGCGCCGCUCCGAAGUCGAAACCUGAUCCCAGCGACAUUUUCACUCCACCCUUAGUUGUUUUUAUUUUCUGAGAAAUGACGUUGUGACGCUUCUGGUCCAUGCCCAUAAUGUCUUCGAUGCGAUGGUAAGGUGACGGAUUCGGUGAGAGUGAAUCACGGUGCUUCAUGUCGAGACGCAUAGCCGUUUCUUCCUUGGAAUGUGCGGAGGCUAUUAGGAGCAUCGUGAUGAGACACAAGAGCAUUGUUGUCGUUGUCUUCAUUUUUUUCGUCCUCUUGUUCUGUUUUUUUUUUUUGCUCCUUUUAGGGUUGUCCGUUUCUAAAACAGAGUAUUUAUAUUGACCAACACGCCUUUCUCUCUCUAUUCUUUUUUUUAAUCAUAAAUCUAAAAAACCUUGAUUGAGUUAUAGUUUUUAGAUUUGUUUUAGUUUCUGAAAUUACCAUAUUUAUCAAGAUUUUGAAAAUGUGGUUUUCCUGAAAAAAAGGGAGACUCAUUUUUGUAGCUACAAUAAAAACAAAAAACACACCAUGUUAUUUGGGUUUCUUAUUAAAAAGCCUAUUUUUUCCAACGAGAGUUUAUUUGUUAUUUAUGAUUAUUAUUUUAUAACAUAUUUUUGUUAUUAUCCAAAAUUCAAAAACUAUUUUAAAGGCUUUAAACAUCUUCCGUAAAUUAAAAAGAAAACAUUUGAGGCUAGCAUGUCAAAAGUCAAAACCAUGUUUUCUAUGUAUUUUAGUUUUAAGUCCUAUAAUUACUUUUAAAGCUAUUAAUUCAGAAAUACAGUGUUCGUUUAGAUUACUUAAUUUAUGAAUUAAUGACAAACUGAUCAAUUCUUAGCAAAUCUAACAUUUUUUGAGAAAUUAAAGUAGGAAUGCAAAACAAAUAACUCUCAUCGGUGACCAUUAAAAUAAGAAUAAAAAUGAAUAAGAAAAGAAUGAAGAAUAACAAAAUAAAAUGAAUGAAAAUAAAUAUUUAAUCCCUUUGUUCCAUAUCAAUUUUGAUAAUAAAUGUUUUUCUUAUAUAGUUCCUUAAAAUUUAAAGAAUGAAAAUGAAUCAAAUGCAGCAAAAACUUUCUUAUAAAUGGUGUAAUUUUUAAGAAAUGAAUAGGAAUCGAGUAUUCUCCUUCAUUCUCUACGUCACACCAUUUGGACUCAAAGACAAACGUGAAAGAGGGUAAAGAGAGAGAGUGUGCGCUUGUGUUAUGACAUUGUAACACAAGUGUAAGAAAGAGAGAGAGAGUGAGUGAGAACAAAGACAGAGACUGAACAAAAGAGUCUUGAGUGAACAAGAGCAAGAGAGAGGCCGGCCGUAAGUGAGUCGAGUGGAAAGGUCAAGCCAAGAAGAGCUUUUUAUUUAUAAAUUGAUCUUUCAAUUUUUAUAUAGUUUUGUUUGUAUCAAAACUAAUUCAGUAUUUGUGUUUUAUGCUUUAAUAAAUUAUUAAUAUUUUCAUAAUACAAUUAUAAAUUUCUAAAAAUAAUUUUAUAUUCUUGUAAAGACUAAAUUUAUGUAUAAUAUAAUAAAGAUAGUUAAAAUACAAUUAUUUUGGAUAAAAUUUGUAAAAUUAUAAAAUAACAAACAUUAUUAGAACUUUUUUUUGUGCAACACAUUAUUAGAGCUAAUAAUAAGUAUUAAUAAUAAAAUAUAUUUACAAUAUUCUUUUUCAAAAGGAAAAAUGAGUGAAACUCCAAUUCAUUUAGAAAGAACUGUUGACAUGAAGAAUUAAACAAAGGGAAGUAGUGGAGGAAGUAGGAGAAGUGGCCAUAUCACUUACCAAAUGGGGAGGAGUGGCUAGUCCACUACUAGUUAGUGGAGGAAGUGGGAGGAGUGACCAUAUCACUUACCAAAUGGGGAGGAGUGGCUAGUCCACUACUAGUUAUUUAUUCUUCCACCAUUGAGUGCUUAUUGCUUUUGUUUCCUUUAAAUACACCAUGUAUGUUACACAAUUAAACACACAAUUCAAUACAAACAUUUCUUUCAUUCUCUCAAUCUCACAAAUCCUCUCAUUCUCUUAAAUUCUCAAAUUUCUCUUCUCUCUCAAAUACUUACGGUUACUUCACUCCUUUUUUACUUUGUUCGUGUGCUUCAUCACGGUUAAAACACUUAGAAGCUCUCAUAAUCCCACAAAUUAUCAUGGUAUCAGAGCAGCAACAAUCUUGAAACCUUUCUAAAUUCCGCAAAAUCAAAACUCUGUUUCUAGUUCUUAAACUCUACCUCUGACCAAGUAAAUCCCCAAGAUGGAGAACAACAACAACAAUAACAACAACCGCAUCAGCAUACCUGUGACCCUGAAGGGGAUUAACUACCUCUUGUGGGCCAGGAUGGUGAAGAUUGCCCUUGGAGGAAAGGGUUUGUGGAGUCAUGUCUCAGCAGAAGCAGCUCCAAAACAAACCACCCAAGGAGAAGAUGGACAGGAGAUUGUGGUAGCUACUGAUGAAGACAAAUGGGCUCAGGAAGAUCUCAUGGUUCUCACAGUGCUCCUUAGCUCCCUAGAACCCGCCAUCAUGGAGUCUUACUCCUACUGUGAAACUACCAAGCAGCUGUGGGAUACACUCUACAAAGUGUAUGGAAAUACCUCCAACCUUACAAGGGUCUUUGAAGUAAAAAGAGCUAUCAAUACCCUCAACCAAGGAGAUAUGGAGAAGGGACAGUGUGAUGAGCAAUGGUGGUUCAGCUAAAGUGAGAGGAAGCUUGGAGCGCAAGAAAUCAAAGAGUUUUAAAGAAGGAGAAAGCUAUCCUUCUUGGCUCAUAACCGAGGCUCCUGGGAGUAUAGCCGCCGUGAGGAGGGAGCAAGUGGCUGCACAACAAGCCCUAAGGAAACUGAAGAUUGCUCAUUACGGCAGAUCUAAAUCAACGCUAACUAAUUUUACCUCCUCCAAAGUUGUCCCUCUUGUUCACCCUAGCCCUCAUCCUCAUCCUCAGAGGUGCAGCUUCAUCACCCCUACUUCUG
RNAcentral lists this long non-coding RNA (7124 nucleotides) under Brassica napus (rape). RNAcentral describes it as "long non-coding RNA (BNAP_LNC012573)". The record is from RNAcentral. Lineage: Eukaryota; Viridiplantae; Streptophyta; Magnoliopsida; Brassicales; Brassicaceae.